ACGGAAGGCAGCAGUGAGGAAUAUUGGUCAAUGGGCGGAAGCCUGAACCAGCCAAGUCGCGUGAAGGAUGAAGGUAUUAUGUAUUGUAAACUUCUUUAGCAGCAGAGUAAUAAGGGGGUCGUGACCCCCGAUGCAAGUAUGCUGAAAAUAAGGAUCGGCUAACUCCGUGCCAGCAGCCGCGGUAAUACGGAGGAUCCGAGCGUUAUCCGGAUUUACUGGGUUUAAAGGGUGCGCAGGCGGUUUUUUAAGUCAGUGGUUAAAUCGUGAGGCUCAACCUCAUCACGCCAUUGAUACUGGAAGACUUGAUUGCGGUUGAGGUUGGCGGAAUUCGUCGUGUAGCGGUGAAAUGCAUAGAUAUGACGAAGAACACCGAUUGCGUAGGCAGCUGACCAAGCCGUAAAUGACGCUCAUGCACGAAAGUGCGGGGAUCGAACAGGAUUAGAUACCCUGGUA
Molecule: ribosomal RNA, 453 nt
Filed under: uncultured Porphyromonadaceae bacterium
Lineage: Bacteria; Pseudomonadati; Bacteroidota; Bacteroidia; Bacteroidales; Porphyromonadaceae
Description: partial 16S ribosomal RNA
Rfam family: Bacterial small subunit ribosomal RNA
Source: RNAcentral